This 247-nucleotide ribosomal RNA is filed under the name uncultured bacterium. RNAcentral describes it as "partial 16S ribosomal RNA". It matches the Rfam family "Bacterial small subunit ribosomal RNA", at positions 524 to 770 of the family's 1533-position model. The record is from RNAcentral.
UACGAAGGGGGCUAGCGUUGUUCGGAAUUACUGGGCGUAAAGCGUGCGCAGGCGGCUUCUCAAGUCAGGGGUGAAAGCCCAGAGCUCAACUCUGGAAUUGCCUUUGAGACUGAGUGGCUUGAGUACGAGAGAGGUGAGUGGAAUUCCCAGUGUAGAGGUGAAAUUCGUAGAUAUUGGGAAGAACACCGGUGGCGAAGGCGGCUCACUGGCUCGUAACUGACGCUCAUGCACGACAGCGUGGGGAGUC